RNAcentral lists this non-coding RNA (850 nucleotides) under Homo sapiens (human). Lineage: Eukaryota; Metazoa; Chordata; Mammalia; Primates; Hominidae. The record is from RNAcentral.
ACAUGGGUCUGCAGCUACUGAGCUGACAGCAAGGACUAAAAUGGGAGCACUGUAGAGGAAAAAAAUUUUCAGCCUGACCAAUAUGGAGAAACCCCAUCUCUACUAAAAAUACAGAAUUAGAGGAGAGAAGGUUCCAAGAUGGCCAAAUAGGAACAGCUCCAGUCUACAGCUCCCAGCGUGAGCAACGCAGAAGACGGGUGACUUCUGCACUUCCAACUGAGGAUAUAUGAUUGUGUGGCCUGACAAUCUCAGAAAGUAAAAGCAAAGAAAUUGAAAGACAUGGAAAGAACUAGGCCGGGACCAGCACUGGGCCUUAAUAACCAGUUCACUGAGAUGGUAAGGUUCUAAAUCUUUAGAAGCCCUAAUAAUAUGUUUUACAUAGUGUGACAGCAUAAAGCAGGAAGAACUGACUGAAAAAUAUGUGUUAGCAGACUUGCUGACUACUUUCACCAAAUAAUUAACUGUCAAGUGGCAAAAUAAAGGAGCAAAGCCAAUAGCUUCACUAUCUAUGCAGCACCAAAUAACUCAAAACCAGAUGGGUAUAGAUGUGCAGAACAGUUGAAAGCUAAGUUCACUAUUUUCCGUGAAGCUCCAACAGCCCCACAAAUGGCAUUUAGCUCCGUAGUAAACCAUCCUAUAGGUCAGCAGGAAGCUCAUUAUGGGCUGACAGUCCAGGAGACAAGCACUUUUCAGGGAGCUACGGUAGUAAUUUCCUGUGUGAAAAGCUCACUGCUGUUCUUGCAUUCCUCAGGGUGCAUUUCUUCUCAUCUCAGAGGAUGUUUCUCUUCCACAGGAAGAGGAAGGAACCAGUUGUUACUGGAUGUGUGGGCUGAGAGCUGUCGGGCAUUUU